UACGUAGGUGGCAAGCGUUGUCCGGAUUUAUUGGGUUUAAAGGGUGCGUAGGUGGUCUAUUAAGUCAGUGCUGAAAUAUCCCGGCUUAACCGGGAGGGUGGCAUUGAUACUGAUGGACUUGAGUAGAGUUGAGGUAGGCGGAAUUGACGGUGUAGCGGUGAAAUGCUUAGAUAUCGUCAAGAACACCUAUUGCGAAGGCAGCUUACUAAGCUCUAACUGACACUGAGGCACGAAAGUGUGGGGAUCAAACAGG
This 253-nucleotide ribosomal RNA is filed under the name uncultured bacterium. RNAcentral's name for it is "partial 16S ribosomal RNA". It matches the Rfam family "Bacterial small subunit ribosomal RNA", at positions 524 to 776 of the family's 1533-position model. RNAcentral also lists the same sequence under 1 other name. The record is from RNAcentral.